GCCGAUGUAGCUCAGGGGUAGAGCAGCUGACUUGUAAUCAGCAGGUCGUCGGUUCGACUCCGACCAUCGGCUCCA
This 75-nucleotide transfer RNA is filed under the name Thermoplasmata archaeon. RNAcentral describes it as "tRNA-Thr". It matches the Rfam family "tRNA". From Rfam's summary of the family: Transfer RNA (tRNA) molecules are approximately 80 nucleotides in length. Their secondary structure includes four short double-helical elements and three loops (D, anti-codon, and T loops). Further hydrogen bonds mediate the characteristic L-shaped molecular structure. tRNAs have two regions of fundamental functional importance: the anti-codon, which is responsible for specific mRNA codon recognition, and the 3' end, to which the tRNAs corresponding amino acid is attached (by aminoacyl-tRNA synthetases). tRNAs cope with the degeneracy of the genetic code in two manners: having more than one tRNA (with a specific anti-codon) for a particular amino acid; and 'wobble' base-pairing, i.e. permitting non-standard base-pairing at the 3rd anti-codon position. Lineage: Archaea; Methanobacteriati; Thermoplasmatota; Thermoplasmata. The record is from RNAcentral. RNAcentral also lists the same sequence under 3 other names.